GUCCACGCCCUAAACGAUGGAUACUACGUGGGGGGCCCCCCAAAGGGUUCCCUUCCGGAGCGAAAGCGUUAAGUAUCCCGCCUGGGGAGUAUGAUCGCAAGGUUGAAACUCAAAGGAAUUGACGGGGGGCUCACACAAGCGGUGGAGCAUGUUGUUCAAUUCGAUGCAACGCGAAGAACCUUACCCGGGCUCGAAGCGUACGGAUUAGCUCUAUGAAAGUAGAGUGACACCUUAACCGGUGGAACGUACGUAGGUGUUGCAUGGCUGUCGU
RNAcentral lists this ribosomal RNA (271 nucleotides) under uncultured bacterium. RNAcentral's name for it is "partial 16S ribosomal RNA". It matches the Rfam family "Bacterial small subunit ribosomal RNA", at positions 793 to 1055 of the family's 1533-position model. The record is from RNAcentral.